Molecule: unclassified non-coding RNA, 242 nt
Filed under: uncultured Ascomycota
Lineage: Eukaryota; Fungi; Ascomycota
Description: sequence contains 5.8S rRNA gene, ITS2, 28S rRNA gene
Source: RNAcentral
AACGCACAUUGCGCCCGCUAGUAUUCUGGCGGGCAUGCCUGUUCGAGCGUCAUUUCAACCAUCAAGCCCCAGGCUUGUGUUGGGGGCCUGCAGCUGCUGCAGCCCUCUAAAAGCAGUGGCGGGCUCGCUGUCAUUCCGAGCGCAGUAGUUACAUCUCGCUCUGGACGUGGCAGUGGGCGCCUGCCGUGAAAUACUCUUUUAAGGUUGACCUCGGAUCAGGUAGGAAUACCCGCUGAACUUAA